UAAGCCAUGCAUGUCUAAGUAUAAACGAUUUAAUCGUGAAACCGCGAAUGGCUCAUUAUAACAGCUAUAAUUUACUUGAUCUUGACACAAUCCUACUUGGAUAACUGUGGUAAUUCUAGAGCUAAUACAUGCAUUAAAGCUCUGACCUCACGGGAAGAGUGCAUUUAUUAGAACAAAACCAAGCGGCUUCGGCUGUUUCUGGUUGACUCAUAGUAACUGAGCUGAUCGCAUGGUCUUGCACCGGCGACGUGUCUUUCAAGUAUCUGCCGUAUCAACUUUCGAUGGUAGUGUAUCUGACUACCAUGGUGAUCACGCGUAACGGAGAAUAAGGGUUCGGCUCCGGAGAGUUCGCCUGAGAAAUCGCGAACACAUCUAAGGAAGGCAGCAGGCGCGAAAAUUCCCCACUCUCAGCACGAGGAGGUAGUGACGAAAAAUAACGAGACCGUUCUCUUAUAAGGCCGGUCAUCGGAAUGGGUACAAUUUAAACCCUUUAACGAGUAUC
This 502-nucleotide ribosomal RNA is filed under the name Acrobeloides sp. Sourhope farm. Its description in RNAcentral is "SSU rRNA". It matches the Rfam family "Eukaryotic small subunit ribosomal RNA", at positions 45 to 545 of the family's 1831-position model. The record is from RNAcentral. Lineage: Eukaryota; Metazoa; Nematoda; Chromadorea; Rhabditida; Cephalobidae.